Molecule: long non-coding RNA, 2030 nt
Filed under: Zea mays
Lineage: Eukaryota; Viridiplantae; Streptophyta; Magnoliopsida; Poales; Poaceae
Description: long non-coding RNA (ZMAY_LNC000938)
Source: RNAcentral
AUGUGCUUUAUGAUCCGUAUUUAUACCUAUGUACAUAGACAAAUAGGCCAUUUUAUAGCCAAUCUAAGUAAAUAUAACUGCACAUGUGUAUGCACACGCACAGAAAAAUAAAUAUGUACAGAGAGGGAGGGAUUAGCCUAUAUCUGAUCUAUCAGGUGUAGGCUUGUAGCAACACUAGCUUGCACAUAUAUGUAUAUAUGCUACAAAUGUAUAACUCAUAAACUCUAAAAAAAUGCAGGUUCACAACUCAGACUACAAAGUCAUUCCAGUUCUCUCUGUUCUAACAAAUUAUGGAACACAUAAUUAUGCACAAGAAUUGCUUACGCAAGAUGAUGCAUUUAGCCUUCCAAGUACACAAGAUUCUCCAGCAAUAUCGUUUGGUAUAUAUUCUCCACGUGCACCAAUCAAAAAACUGGAGUAAGCACGUCCUAUCUAAUAUUAACUGCAACUAUUUAUUGGCAUCUGUGUUAUACAACCUGAUCAUAUUUAUCUUUUAGCGACGCGACAAACUCGCAUAUUCCCACAUGCUACGCGAUACUGAGGUGACUUUGAUACAACAACAAAUUUAGCUUCUUCGUAUUUUACGGAAUACAUAACUGUGUGAUAUUGCUGCUAAGACAGAGAUUGGAACCUAUUCUCCCUUUAUACAUGUUAAAAAAAAGCUUCCAUCAUCUGACUGUUUAUAUCAGCUUGAUCACAGGAUCAUGAACUCUGCACGUCAACAUGACAAGGACAGACUGCCCUCGCCACCCUAAGUAUGUCCUUAUGCAACAAGCAGCCCUAAAAAGGAGUAUACAAAUUAAAAAGAUAAUGGACAAUGUUUUUCAUUCAUUUUUUUAUGCAUACACAUACAAACACAAAUUUGAACUCCAACUUAAAAUUCAUACUGAUAUUGUAAAACAUGUGCAGGAUCAGGACUAGCCAACUUCGCAUACUCUAAUCUGAUUCUAUAUAAUCUGGUGACCAUGGCAGUUAUAUUAUAUCGUAAGUUGCACCGAGGUAUAUUGUUCUAUACAUCUUAACACCAAUAUAGUAUACAUAAUAUUCAUGAUAGCUGCUCUUCAACAUCACUCAAAUUCACAUAGAACACAAACAAACAAAAAUGCAAAAACUACUUUAUUCUCCCUUGUAAAUAUCAUACAACAACACCAUUUACAGUAUUGAUUAAACAUUAUAAACACAAUUGAUGUUUCCUUGUCUUCACAGGCUUGCAAAGGUCGUCCACGUUGCUAGAACGAGUUUGCUUUUGUGUAUAGAGGACCAAACUGAUAAAGGCCAUCCAAUUUCGUAUAUGUUUCUACCACCCAUAUCAGUAAGCUCUAUCUUAUGUUUAAUGGAGACUAUGUGUCUUAUCGUGUAAGUUUGCUCUACAACUAAACUGUAACGGUGAUAGUCAUCAUGGUAGACUCAUCUUAGGUUUGUACUGUGAUGUAUACUAUAAUAUUUAUCUGCUUCACAACCAAUAUUGUCACUUUAAACAGGUAUUUACCAUGCUAAUAUCCAACACAUUAAUGUUCUAUGAACAAUUCAAUGUACUAUUUACCACGCGCGCCUAUGGGCGCGCCCAAUACACUAGUGUAUUACAGAUGGAAACAGAUUCUCUGCUGGGUGCUCCUUAUCGGACAUCAAUUUCACCUCCCUUUUCGAGGGCUCCCCGCCCCCCUCCAACCCUAUCCGCCAUUUGUCCCGCAGCCAACGCGCAAGCGACCAUCUUAAAAGGCUUCGAUCUAACUUGCUCCGCCAUGGAAGAAGGAUGAUGCGCUGUGCGCUGAGCUGGUCGUCCGACAUCCGACGCGCAAGCGACCAACGACCUUUUGUUGUUGACAGUCACAAAACCCUAACGGGCAGAAAUUCCUGACUAGAGAAAGCGCGGUGAAGAUGGAUGGUAAUACCUCUGGCAAGCGGCAAGAUGAACGUGCGCACAGCAAGCGAGAACGGAGGCGCUUGACCUGAGAGCACGAAUGUCAUCGCUGUCGUGGAGUUUGACGCUGCGGUGUCUUUUUUCCAAAGGGUUCUUCGUACGAAGUCUG